CGACAAUAGCAAGUGGGAACCACCUGAUUCCAUCCCGAACUCAGUAGUGAAACCACUUAGCGCCGAUGGUAGUGUGGCGUUUCGCCAUGUGAGAGUAGGUCAUUGUCA
RNAcentral lists this ribosomal RNA (108 nucleotides) under uncultured Pseudomonadales bacterium. Lineage: Bacteria; Pseudomonadati; Pseudomonadota; Gammaproteobacteria; Pseudomonadales. The record is from RNAcentral. RNAcentral also lists the same sequence under 1 other name.